This 1313-nucleotide ribosomal RNA is filed under the name metagenome. Its description in RNAcentral is "bacterial LSU rRNA". It matches the Rfam family "Bacterial large subunit ribosomal RNA", at positions 1579 to 2874 of the family's 2925-position model. The record is from RNAcentral.
GUAUCCCGGAAGUGAUUCUAGCCAUGCUUUCAAGAAAAGUUGCGAUAUUUUAAGGUAUUACUCGUACCGUAAACCGACUCAGGAGAGUGGGAUGAAUAAUCUAAGGCGAUGAGGUGAAUCUUGGUUAAGGAACUCGGCAACUUAACACCGUAACUUCGGGAAAAGGUGUGCCUAAGAAUGUGUAAGAACUUGCUUCUGAAGCGUUUUUGGGUCGCAGAGAGUUGGGAGUAGCGACUGUUUAUCAAAAACACAGGCAUGUGCAAAGUCUCAAGACGAAGUAUACAUGCUGACGCCUGCCCGGUGCUGGAAGGUUAAGAGGAUUUGUCAGCGCAAGCGAAGCAGAGAAUCGAAGCCCCGGUAAACGGCGGCCGUAACGAUAACGGUCCUAAGGUAGCGAAAUUCCUUGUCGGGUAAGUUCCGACCUGCACGAAUGGCGUAACGACUUCUCCGGUGUCUCAACCAAGGGCCUCGCGAAAUUGAAUUCUCGGUGAAAAUGCCGGGUACCCGCAGAAAGACGGAAAGACCCCGUGAACCUUUACUGUAGCUUGGCAGUGAUUUUAGAGUUUGGAUGUGUAGGAUAGGUGGGAGCCUUUGAAGCCAGGUCGCUAGAUCUGGUGGAGGCAACCUUGAAAUACCACCCUUGCAAACUUUGAAAUCUAACCUGCUCCUCUUAACGAGGAGAGGGACACUGUCUGGUGGGCAGUUUGACUGGGGCGGUCGCCUCCUAAAAAGUAACGGAGGCGCGCGAUGGUCCCCUCAGCCUGAUUGGAAACCAGGCGUCGAGUGCAUUGGCAUAAGGGGGCUUGACUGCGAGACCUACAAGUCGAGCAGGUGCGAAAGCAGGCCAAAGUGAUCCGGUGGUCCCGCGUGGAAGGGCCAUCGCUCAACGGAUAAAAGGUACUCCGGGGAUAACAGGCUUAUUCCAUCCAAGAGUCCAUAUCGACGAUGGAGUUUGGCACCUCGAUGUCGGCUCAUCACAUCCUGGGGCUGGAGCAGGUCCCAAGGGUUUAGCUGUUCGCUAAUUAAAGUGGUACGCGAGCUGGGUUCAGAACGUCGUGAGACAGUUUGGUCCUUAUCUUCUGUGGGCGUAAGAAAUUUGAGCAGACCUGUCCUUAGUACGAGAGGACCGGGAUGGACGAACCUCUGGUGUUCCAGUUGUCACGCCAGUGGCAAUGCUGGGUAGCUAUGUUCGGAAUAGAUAACCGCUGAAAGCAUCUAAGCGGGAAGCUAACUGCAAGAUUAGAUUUCUCUGGGGCUUCGGCCCCCUAAAGACUCCUCGGAGACUACGAGGUUGAUAGGCAUAAAGUGUUCAA